UACGUAGGGUGCAAGCGUUGUCCGGAAUUAUUGGGCGUAAAGAGCUCGUAGGCGGUCUGUUGCGUCGGCUGUGAAAACCCGGGGCUCAACUCCGGGCCUGCAGCCGAUACGGGCAGACUAGAGUUCGGCAGGGGAGACUGGAAUUCCUGGUGUAGCGGUGAAAUGCGCAGAUAUCAGGAGGAACACCGGUGGCGAAGGCGGGUCUGUGGGCCGAUACUGACGCUGAGGAGCGAAGGCGUGGGGAGCGAACAGG
RNAcentral lists this ribosomal RNA (253 nucleotides) under uncultured bacterium. RNAcentral describes it as "partial 16S ribosomal RNA". It matches the Rfam family "Bacterial small subunit ribosomal RNA", at positions 524 to 776 of the family's 1533-position model. The record is from RNAcentral.